UCGAGAAUCUUCCACAAUGGACGAAAGUCUGAUGGAGCGACGCCGCGUGAUCGAUGAAGUUCUUAGGAAUGUAAAGAUCUUUUAUGGGCAAGAAAAUUUUGAUCAGCCCAUGAAUAAGAGGUUGCUAAACUCGUGCCAGCAGCAGCGGUAAUACGAGUGCCUCAAGCGUUAUCCGGAAUUAUUGGGCGUAAAGGGUGUGUAGGCGGUUCUGUUAGUCGAAUGUUAAAGCUUCGGGCUUAACCUGAAAAAUGCAUUCGAAACGGCAGAACUAGAGUAUGCGAGGGGUUUGCGGAGCUCAUAGUGUAGGGGUGAAAUCCGUUGAUAUUAUGGGGAACACCAAAAGCGAAGGCAGCAAACUGGCGCAUUUACUGACGCUCAAACACGAAAGCGUGGGUAGCGAAUGGG
This 405-nucleotide ribosomal RNA is filed under the name uncultured bacterium. RNAcentral's name for it is "bacterial SSU rRNA". It matches the Rfam family "Bacterial small subunit ribosomal RNA", at positions 355 to 776 of the family's 1533-position model. The record is from RNAcentral.